Molecule: long non-coding RNA, 435 nt
Filed under: Anser cygnoides (Swan goose)
Lineage: Eukaryota; Metazoa; Chordata; Aves; Anseriformes; Anatidae
Description: lncRNA (ENSACDG00005009183.1)
Source: RNAcentral
UAUACAUUCAGAGACACGAUGAAUAGGCAGUAUCAAGAGCUACCUGACCCAGAAGAAGUCUAGAGAAGUCUAGCUGUGAAAGUAUUCCUCCUUUAAGCACUUGGUGGAUGACAGAGCAGUGAGUUGAAUGGACAUAAAGCAACACCACUGCUGAGAAGGGACGGGUGCUCCUCAGCAGUGCUGCUGCUCCCAGGCCUGUUGAAGGUACUGCUGAACCUUUCCCAGGAACUUGUCUCUGCAUGUUGUGAAGACAAUAUACUCUCUGCUGUUUGGGUUAAUGCUGCAAGGACCAUGGCAAUUGGAAGACACUGCAGAACCAACGACUGGUCAACUUCACAAGGAAAUGGGCAAGUUGCAGCAAUGACUCAAGCUAAGCUGGUGCUGGUGUCCAAAAAUCCUACUCUGCCUGUCCUGAGUGGCCACUUUGGUAGAUGA